Molecule: long non-coding RNA, 1271 nt
Filed under: Salmo salar (Atlantic salmon)
Lineage: Eukaryota; Metazoa; Chordata; Actinopteri; Salmoniformes; Salmonidae
Description: lncRNA (ENSSSAG00000117533.1)
Source: RNAcentral
AUUUAUUGAUGUAUAGAUAAGAAUUUAAAUGUGAUGUAACAGGUAAAUUAACGUUAGGCCAUUAAUUGUGUUUUUAUGUUCCAUCCCGGAACUAACGUUCUCUGUUGUGUUACUGCUACGGAAUUUGUUCAUUGACUGUGUGCAAUCUAACUUAAGCAGAUCUUAGUCUGAGUCAUAAUUGUUGGUGGCAGAGGCUAAGAAAGACAGUAAAGGGACUUUCAAGGGACUUUAAGAAUUCAAGAACCUCUUUUCAGGACAAGCAGCCAACGAGUUCUCACGGCGUGACGUGGAUGCAUCGGAGAAAAAUACGUGCAAUGCAAUAAACGCCCGUUUCAAAGAACCAACCUGUGUCUGUUGUCGUGAAGAGAGCUACAGUGAGAACUCGCCUGCUCAACACGGGUAGGAGAGACAACAAGAUCGCCGCGGGUAACGACGCAACGAAGAUCCAGCAGAUCAGAUAAGCAAAGCCCAUGACAUUGUCGGCUUAGCGACAGCAAGCAACGGUGAUUGGACUGUGUUGAAAGCGCAACUUUUCAGGCCAAAAGCACUCUACCACAACAUUCAAGUUAAGUUGGUAUGAGAAGUGGUUCUACUUUGAAAUUGCAACUAAGGACUCAGCUCUAUGAAUCGUACAUACUGUGCUUAGCCUACAUGUUUUGGGGAUAAAUCGAAUGUGCUGGUGUUUGUGGUUGUUACGUGUUACGAGAUUUAAAGGGAAACUUAACUCCAUAAGCAAGUGAACACGUUUUGAGUAAAGAUAAAAGAUAAUCAUACAUUGAAAUUAAGAUUAAUGUUUUAUGAAAAGUGGUGUUAGCCAAGCUUAAAGAGCAAUUUAAGCAAAGUUUAACCUCUAUGGGCUAGGUGGGACGCCAUUUGUAUUUCUUUGUUUCAGUACUAUAAUUUAUCAACGUUACUGUGUUCAUUCAAACAUAUAGUUCUCACGGCGUGACGUGGAUGCAUCGGAGAAAAAUACGUGCAAUGCAAUAAACGCCCGUUUCAAAGAACCAACCUGUGUCUGUUGUCGUGAAGAGAGCUACAGAGACCCUCUGAUCUAAAUAUAGAUCUCUACUAUGGGGACGUUGGGCUGGUAUAGAGAGAAGAGGAGGAGAGACCCUCUGAUCUAAAUAUGGGUCUCUACUAUGGGGACGUUGGGCUGGUAUAGAGGCAAGAGGAGGAGAGGAAAGUAAACAAGAGGUGGAGGAGGGGGUGAACACGGGGGAGAGAGAGAGAGGUUCAGAUGAAAGGAAAAUGGGAGAGAGGGGGUUGGAGGG